RNAcentral lists this microRNA precursor (103 nucleotides) under Phlebotomus papatasi. Its description in RNAcentral is "microRNA mir-305". Lineage: Eukaryota; Metazoa; Arthropoda; Insecta; Diptera; Psychodidae. The record is from RNAcentral.
UAAAAAAUGGUGAAAUUGGCUUGCAGCAUAUGCUGUGGUCUGGAAAGAGUUAACUCUUUCUGGACCGCAGCAUAUGCUGCAAGCCAAUUUCACUAUUUUUUAA